This 73-nucleotide transfer RNA is filed under the name Deltaproteobacteria bacterium. Its description in RNAcentral is "tRNA-Thr". It matches the Rfam family "tRNA". From Rfam's summary of the family: Transfer RNA (tRNA) molecules are approximately 80 nucleotides in length. The record is from RNAcentral. Lineage: Bacteria; Pseudomonadati; Myxococcota; Myxococcia.
GCCCACGUAGCUCAGUUGGUAGAGCAACGCAUUCGUAAUGCGUAGGUCGCCGGUUCAACUCCGGCCGUGGGCU